Molecule: ribosomal RNA, 992 nt
Filed under: Porphyromonas gingivalis
Lineage: Bacteria; Pseudomonadati; Bacteroidota; Bacteroidia; Bacteroidales; Porphyromonadaceae
Description: bacterial SSU rRNA
Rfam family: Bacterial small subunit ribosomal RNA
Source: RNAcentral
CUUACAGAGGGGGAUAACCCGUUGAAAGACGGACUAAACCGCAUACACUUGUAUUAUGCAUGAUAUUACAAGGAAAUAUUUAUAGCUGUAAGAUAGGCAUGCGUCCCAUUAGCUAGUUGGUGAGGUAACGGCUCACCAAGGCGACGAUGGGUAGGGGAACUGAGAGGUUUAUCCCCCACACUGGUACUGAGACACGGACCAGACUCUACGGGAGGCAGCAGUGAGGAAUAUUGGUCAAUGGGCGAGAGCCUGAACCAGCCAAGUCGCGUGAAGGAAGACAGUCCUAAGGAUUGUAAACUUCUUUUAUACGGGAAUAACGGGCGAUACGAGUAUUGCAUUGAAUGUACCGUAAGAAUAAGCAUCGGCUAACUCCGUGCCAGCAGCCGCGGUAAUACGGAGGAUGCGAGCGUUAUCCGGAUUUAUUGGGUUUAAAGGGUGCGUAGGUUGUUCGGUAAGUCAGCGGUGAAACCUGAGCGCUCAACGUUCAGCCUGCCGUUGAAACUGCCGGGCUUGAGUUCAGUGGCGGCAGGCGGAAUUCGUGGUGUAGCGGUGAAAUGCAUAGAUAUCACGAGGAACUCCGAUUGCGAAGGCAGCUUGCCAUACUGCGACUGACACUGAAGCACGAAGGCGUGGGUAUCAAACAGGAUUAGAUACCCUGGUAGUCCACGCAGUAAACGAUGAUUACUAGGAGUUUGCGAUAUACCGUCAAGCUUCCACAGCGAAAGCGUUAAGUAAUCCACCUGGGGAGUACGCCGGCAACGGUGAAACUCAAAGGAAUUGACGGGGGCCCGCACAAGCGGAGGAACAUGUGGUUUAAUUCGAUGAUACGCGAGGAACCUUACCCGGGAUUGAAAUGUAGAUGACGGAUGGUGAAAACCGUCUUCCCUUCGGGGCGUCUAUGUAGGUGCUGCAUGGUUGUCGUCAGCUCGUGCCGUGAGGUGUCGGCUUAAGUGCCAUAACGAGCGCAACCCACAUCGGUAGUUGCUAACAGU